UCCACAGUGGCUCAAUGGAAGAGCGGGCGGCUGUUAACCGCCAGGUUGGGGGUUCGAGUCCCUCCUGUGGAG
This 72-nucleotide transfer RNA is filed under the name Archangium violaceum. RNAcentral describes it as "tRNA-Asn". It matches the Rfam family "tRNA". Rfam says of the family: Transfer RNA (tRNA) molecules are approximately 80 nucleotides in length. Lineage: Bacteria; Pseudomonadati; Myxococcota; Myxococcia; Myxococcales; Archangiaceae. The record is from RNAcentral.